RNAcentral lists this ribosomal RNA (697 nucleotides) under uncultured bacterium. RNAcentral's name for it is "bacterial SSU rRNA". It matches the Rfam family "Bacterial small subunit ribosomal RNA", at positions 73 to 749 of the family's 1533-position model. The record is from RNAcentral.
CCGGAGCUUGCUCCACCGGAAAAAGAAGAGUGGCGAACGGGUGAGUAACACGUGGGUAACCUGCCCAUCAGAAGGGGAUAACACUUGGAAACAGGUGCUAAUACCGUAUAACAAUCGAAACCGCAUGGUUUUGAUUUGAAAGGCGCUUUCGGGUGUCGCUGAUGGAUGGACCCGCGGUGCAUUAGCUAGUUGGUGAGGUAACGGCUCACCAAGGCCACGAUGCAUAGCCGACCUGAGAGGGUGAUCGGCCACAUUGGGACUGAGACACGGCCCAAACUCCUACGGGAGGCAGCAGUAGGGAAUCUUCGGCAAUGGACGAAAGUCUGACCGAGCAACGCCGCGUGAGUGAAGAAGGUUUUCGGAUCGUAAAACUCUGUUGUUAGAGAAGAACAAGGAUGAGAGUAACUGUUCAUCCCUUGACGGUAUCUAACCAGAAAGCCACGGCUAACUACGUGCCAGCAGCCGCGGUAAUACGUAGGUGGCAAGCGUUGUCCGGAUUUAUUGGGCGUAAAGCGAGCGCAGGCGGUUUCUUAAGUCUGAUGUGAAAGCCCCCGGCUCAACCGGGGAGGGUCAUUGGAAACUGGGAGACUUGAGUGCAGAAGAGGAGAGUGGAAUUCCAUGUGUAGCGGUGAAAUGCGUAGAUAUAUGGAGGAACACCAGUGGCGAAGGCGGCUCUCUGGUCUGUAACUGACGCUGA